Molecule: non-coding RNA, 6838 nt
Organism: Cyanistes caeruleus (blue tit)
Lineage: Eukaryota; Metazoa; Chordata; Aves; Passeriformes; Paridae
Source: RefSeq, a predicted model, not a curated record
UUCUCAUCUUCCCUUUCUCCCAGGGGGAUGUGCCAUGGAUGAGCCUCUGUUCAAAUCCAUCCUUGCAGCCUUGGCUCGUUCUAGAGGUGAUCCAGACGUCUUUGCACUGAAUCAUGGAGCCUUUGGACAGACAGUGCCGCAUAAUCAUAAAGCAGGAGUUGAUCCCUGUGAGGUUUGGUGCAGUCAGCCUGUGGAAAAAUUAAAGGAAUAUUGCAACGUGAGCAAAAUCAGGUUGUUUUGGUCUGUGCUCUUCACCAGGCGAAGCAUUUCCUUUCUAGAUGAAUUUCGUUCAAUGGUCCUGGGUUGGAACAUGGAGGCAAUCCAUGAGUGUGAUAUUUUGGAAGACCUUGCUGAUUUAAUAAAAAAAGUUGUUAACAUCCCACAUUUUAUCAAUGGCAUCCUGAGGAUCGCCACUAGACUAGAAAAUGGUUUCUUCCACAUUGAAGAUGCUGUGGAGUGGGUCAGGUGUGUGGGGGAUUCCAACAUCCUGCAGAGACUGGAGCAGCUCGAGGACGGUGGCCGGGUCAAACUUCAAAUUCUUUUUGUUGAGUGGAAACGUUGCAUCACCAAAGUGGCGCUGGAAAAUUGUGAUUUAGUGGCAGAAUUGAAAGCUGUGACCUGUGAGAGCUCCAGGAAGGAAAGUGAAUCCAUGAAGCAGAAAGGAAAUGCUGAAUUUUCCCAAGGAGCCCUGGGCUCUGCCAUCGUGUCAUACACCAAAGCCAUGGAGUUUUGCCCUACAAACCACCUCCUGUAUGGGAACCGAGCCCUGUGCUUCAUUCUCACCGGGCAGUACGAGAAAGCUGUAAUUGAUGGAAAAAGAGCCAUAGUUCUCAAGCCUGAUUGGCCAAAGGGUCACUACCACUACUGCAAAGCCCUGGCCCUGCUGGGAGAGGCUGAGCACGCACUGGAGGCCAACAGGAAAGCGCAGGAGCUCUGCCAGAAAGACCCCCAGGGGCUCAAGGAGCUCCUCCAGCAGAAUGAAACACUCAAGAAGAGCCUGCAGGAAAUCCAUGGUACUAAGCAUAAACAGAAGGCGAAGGAGGCUCUGCUUGAGGCGAAAGUCUCUUCUUCAAAAUCUCCUUCAAGAACCUCCCAGAAACAGAAAGGAGGAGAGAAAGAGAGGAAGAAAACCCAGGCUGAGCCCAAACAUUCCCAGGGGCCUCAAAAACACAAUGCCAAGGUGACUGAGCCCCAGGAAGCAGAAGGCAAAGUUUCCACGCUGGAGCAGCCUCCAAACCAAAGUCAGCAAAACAAACGAAGGCAAAAAACCAAAACUUGUGACUAUGAAAAGAUGAGGGAUCAUGUGGAUUUGAAGAGGGAGUCUAAAGCCAUGGAGGAUAAAAGUUUCUGUACUGGGCCACAGGUGGAUUUCAGUCCAGAUGUGAAAUCCCUUGGGCUGGAGGGUGCUGGAACCUUGCUGGACAGGGAUAAACCCGUUCUAUUACCCCUGCUGAGAGCCUUGAAUACUCCAGAAUUUGUGGUGGAUUUCAACUCUCUGCCAGAGGAUGUGAAGUCCCUGGCUCAGGAUGGCUGCAGAGCCCUGCUGGAGCAGCAGUGCCACAGAGCUGAACGAGCCUUUUCCCAACUCCUCAGCAUCCUCUACACCUCAGGAUUUUCGUCUGUGAAUAUUCUUAAUAUUAAUUAUGUUAUACUCCUCUAUGGACAUGCCACUGCCCUCCUGGGAUUGGGACAUCCUGAGGCAUUGGCAAAGGCUGAAGAUCAGUUUAAGAAAAUAAUUGAGGAAUAUCCAGAAGAAAGUUGUUUUUGUUUGGCACACUAUGGAAUUGGAAAGGUUUACCUCAGGCAAAACAGGUUUGCUCAUGCCCUCGACCAGUUCCUUAGGUCAAAGCUGAUGAUUGAUUUCAAGAUUGUUCCUGAGGUUUUAACCUGGCCAGGAACAACCCAGGUCAUCGAGGAGUCACGAAUAGAGAAUUUACAGGUGGCUUUAAGGAAUUGUAUUGAGGAAUGUAAAUUCCCUCCAGAGCCAGAUGCUGUUUGUCGAUAUCAGCAGUGCCAUGGCUACUCCAAAAUCCAAAUAUAUUUUACAGACCCAGAUUUUAAGGGUUUUAUACGUAUUAUUUGCUGUCAGCAGUGCAGGGUGGAGUUCCACAUCAGCUGCUGGAAAAAGCUGAAAACAACAAACUACAGUGAUAAAAAUGAUAAGGAUUUCCUUAAGGAAAUGUGUUUUACUCCUGAUUGUAAAGGCCUUAUUUCAAAAAUAGCUAUUUUCAGUUCUACUGGGUUGGUAAAAUGUGAAUUUGAACAAAAAAUCCCAAAACCCAAGGAACCACCAAGGGCCUGUAUAAAACAGAAAUGUUCAAGUCUUAGGAAGAUAAAAAUGAAGCAAGAAAAAAAACUGCAACGAAAACGAGCGCGAGAAGAGGCCUGGAAUUCUGCCAGGAAAAAAGCUGAGGAAAAGCAGGAUGGAAAUGAAGAAUCCCAGUACAGUCAGCACAGAGGUUAUGGCCAGGAAUUGUACGCAGGGGACCAGGUCCUGCAGCACAUCCGGCGGAAUUCCGAGCAGAUCAAAGCCGCCGUCCCUGACGCUGCCAAAUUAUUAAAGGAAUUAUUGGUGUGGGGAGUGAUCAGAGAGGAGGAUUUCACCUCUUACUCCCAAAUCAGUGGCACUUCCCAGGAGGUGCUGGAGCAGCUGCUCAGCUCCAUAAUCCAGCAGAAAUGCCGGGUGCAGAGCAGGGGCUUCCUGCACGUGCUGAGCCAGCUGGGAGAGGUGGAUCCCAAAGUGCACAAGUGGCUGCAGCACCUGGAUAACCUGGGUCUGACAGCUACAAAAAACUUUCUCCUUCAAUAUGGGCAAGUUCUGCAAGAGCUUGACUUUUCUAUUUUAAUCCCACUGUGGAACCAGAAAUAUGGCAGUAAAUUUGAUUAUGUGGCAGCUGAUGGUGAAAAGCAAGAAAUUUGUGAUUAUUUCCUCGCCCCUCCCCUAGAGAAAUCCCGUUGUUUUAUAUGGCUUUUAGAAGAAAACAGAGAACAUUUUCCACACCUCCAUCAAGCUCUAGAUGAAUUCUUUGAUAAAAUGGAUGACCCAACUAUUAUAUUAAAGAAGCAGGGAAAUGAAAAUUUAUCAAAUAAUGAAAUCAAAGUUAAAAACAAAAACAGGAAGAAGAAUUGGAAAGAUUCAAAGUCUAUUUUAGUAUUAUCCAGUGGAGUUAGUACAGCACCACGUGAAGAAGAGAAGAUAUUUAUAGAAGAAAAUAAUUUGUACAGAGAUUUUUCAAAUGAACCCUUUGUAAUCCCAGAAUAUCUCCAGGAGCAACUGGAGGAAUUCGAAGCUCUUUAUAAUGUUUCAAAUAGUAACAAUUAUCACAUGAAUAAUAAUAAUAAUCCAGAUCCAAUCUGUGAAAAUUUAUAUGAUUAUUUUUCUCAAAUUUUGGAAGAACAUGGCCCUCUGGAAAUUAAUAAUAAAUUACUGAUUGGGGAAUAUGAAAAUUUCCCUGAGGAAACUCGGAAGGUGGUGGAAGAUGAAGGUGGCCUGGAGCCCUUCCUGCUGAAAUCCCUUCGUUUCAUUAUGGUGGAUGAUCUGAUUGGAUUAAGGAAGCACUCAGUCCUUUUUGAAGGAAAUCCAAGCAGAAACAAGACUGGGAAUAAAGAGGAAAAUGAUAAAUCUGAGGAAUCCCAAGAGAACUCUUCCCACAGCAAGGUGCCAUUGAAUCCCUAUGCCCAGGAAUUCAAGCCUCUGUCGUACCCUUUGAAACCCUCUUUAUCAGCAACUCCUAAAUUAACAGAUUAUGAGACUCCACAAUAUUUACCCUGCUCCUUCCCUGCUUCCCUCACACCUGGGAAUCCUCUGGAAAACAAGGAUGUUAAUUCCAUGGAAAACAAGGAGCUUCUUCCGGGUGUUUUAUUGAAGAGCUUCGGGCCUGCGGGCCCGGCUGUGUUUUUGCCUCAGAGCUCGUGGGGUUAUCAAUAUGGAAUAUUGCCCCUGCCUGCUGCCCUGGCACAGCCUGCCUUGGUUUAUGCUGAUCCUGGAGCUCAUUUGGAUCACUGGGAAUCAGCAAUUCCAUGUGGAAAAUACAGCCCUGAGGGUUCCCUGCCAGCUGAAGUCCAGGAGUGCAAGAAAGGCCUUAAGGGCCGGUUGGAGACCUCGGGUGGGGAGGAUUCUGCUUUUCCAAAUGGUUCAGAUGAAGCUGAAGGUGGUAAAUGUGUUAAAAAGGAAGAAGAAAGGAGAAAUAAACCUGAGAUGAAGAGCAAUCCUCACACAAGGAUGGUGGCUGUUCAGGUAAAUCAAGAAGUUGCUGAUAGGGAAACCAAUACUUUGCCUUUCCAUCCAUUUGAAAAUCAACAAGGCGAUAUUCUCCGCAUGGAAAAGGAGCACCAGGUAUUGAAAGAACAACUCAGAGAAGCAGAGGAGAAAUUUGAGCAGUUACAAAGCAGGAGAUUGGAGGAAAUCAGUGCUUUGGAAGAGCUCUUGAAAAAAAGUAUUGAAGAGACCAAGGUGUCCCAGAAUGAGCUGGAUUGGUUCCACCAAGUCUCGGAAACACAAAUGAAGAAAUGGCAGCAGGAGAAGAAAGAAAAUCGAGAGAGUUUAAAAGCAUUGAAGGGCACAGCUAAAAAACACUCAGACACCAAUGAGAGGUAUUUGAAGACCAUUGAUGACAAGGAAAAGCAGUAUAAUGAGUGUUUAAAUACAUUUCUGGAGACCAGUAAUAAAUUUGCUAAUGAGAAAGGCAAAUUGGAAGAGCUGAUAGAAAAGAGUCAAAAUGACAGCCAGGAGUGUGAGAAAAGAGCUGUUAAAGCAGAGAUCUCAGUACUCCAGACCUGGAAGGAAACUGAAAUCUGGAAACUCAAAGGCAGCAUUGCCAAGGCAGAGGGAAAUCUGAGGAUGCUGAAGGCACUGAGCAGCAGCUCAGCUUCAGCAGCUCCUGUGUUGAAGUCCCAUAUCGAUUCCUGGGAAAUAUUUCUUUCAAAUGUCAAGAAACAACUGGAAAAAGUCGAGGCUGAGUAUGAAGAAAAAAUCGAGCUGGUGAAGAAUGGUGCCCGGGACUGCCUGAGUAAAGUGGAAGUUGUGGAUUUUCCUUGUCCUCAGGGAUUUGAUACAAUACCAGGCAGACCUCUCACGUGUGACCCUGCCAUCAUCACCUGCUCCUCGGCAUCUGCACAUCCCAGUGCCCUUCCUGGAUUUUCCAGUUCUGAUGGAAAAGCUCCAGCCCAGCCUCCACUCCCAGCCCAGCCCGGAGCUAAGCCAGCACCUGCCACCUCUGAGGCUUCUUCUGCAGCUGGGAAAACACAUCCCAAAGCUCCAGAGGCUCCACAUUCCAAUAAACCCUCCCCAUCCUGCCCACCAGGGGUUUCUGGGAGUAACACCCAGCAUGUCCAGCCCAACCAAGAUCCCUCAGCUCUGCAACCGAGGCCUUCUGGAAUUCCAAACAACAAAAAGCCUCCAGAAGGAAUUGAAAAUAUUCUUUCCCAGCUCCAGAGUAUAUUCCCAAACUACAGCAGCUCAGACCUCAUUGCCUUCAUCAGGGACGUGCAGAGGAGGAAUGGGAACACCAUGGCCGGCCUGAGCCCGGAUGAAAUCCUCAACCGGGUCACGUCGCUCAUCCUGGACCAGCAGCUCAAGGCACCAGCUCCAGCAGGCAGAGCCAUGCACUCCCUGGGCCCGGCAGCGCGGAGCCAGGAUGUGCCUGCAGAAGGAAUCGGCCCCUGGGCAGUGCCCACCCCUAAAAACUCCUCCAGUAAAAACCCCUCUCAGCCAAACCUGCAGCCCUGGAGAAAUGCUGGAGCUGCACCUAAAGCCAAAUGGAAAAAGAAGGACGAUGCUGCCUCUGGUGAGGAUCCCUGCGCCAUCUGUCACGACGAGCUGAGCAGAGACUGCUGUGAGCUCGAGUGUGGCCAUCACUUCCACAGAAAGGUGAGCUCUGCUCUUCUUCCUCAUCUCCACCUCCUAAAAACAACCCCUCUGCCCUCCCCUUACCCUUCAGUGCUUGAACAACAGGCCACAAUUUCCUUUUCCCCAAGCCUGACCCACAGCCAGCCUGUCAGAAAGCUUUAGGUAUUUUUAAAGUUGAUUCAUCAAAGUGGAUUUCAGAUGAUUCUUCAGAGCAUGAAUUUGGUUGGGAUUGCUGGCAGCACACUCAGGGAAGGGGUUAUCCCUCUAAACUCUGCAUUUGCCUCCUGAUUGUGGAAAUUCAUGAAGCAAAAAAGCCAGGAUUAUUUUGGAAUAACUCCACAUUUCUGUCUGUGACUUUUCCCCUUGACCUUUUCUGUUUUAAUGCUGAUUUAUUCUCGUAGAAUAAAUUUGAGUACAGCAGGAGAACAGUUCUCCACCCCCAAAUUUCAGUGGUGUACAACUUACUGAAGAGCUUCCCCUUUAGUGCCAGUAAUUUCCAGCCUCCAGCUGGAUUCCUCUUCCCAAAUUUUGCCUCUCACCCUCUCCCUGCAGUGCAUCCAAAGGUGGCUCAAGCAGCAUUCCAGCACCUGCCCCAUCUGCCGUGUCCACGCUCUGCUUCCCGAGGACUUCCCUGAGCUUCCUGCAUGGAACAAGAAUGGUCACCACUAGCAGGAGAGGCAGAAUUCCAACAGCUCAGGGAAUUGUUCUCCUACUGUUUUCUGAGUCUGAAGUGGCCAGAGCACCUUCAACAUUGACAAAUUUGUCCCAAAAAAGCCAAAAGGUGAGAACCAGAGCCUGGGAAUCACAGAGUGUAACUCCAUUGUCUGAAUCCAGGGAGCAUCCCAUGGAUUAGGAGCUCUUGGCUAAUUCCAAGGAUCACUUGUUCCCCACACUGCUACAUCUCCUCCAGAUCAAGUUUUAAACUCCUCUCUCAUUAUUCAGUGUUAUUAAUUACCAGUUGAAUAAAAAAAUAAAAUUGCUGCUACAGCC